AGCGUAGAUGGAUGUUUAAGUCAGUUGUGAAAGUUUGCGGCUCAACCGUAAAAUUGCAGUUGAUACUGGAUAUCUUGAGUGCAGUUGAGGCAGGCGGAAUUCGUGGUGUAGCGGUGAAAUGCUUAGAUAUCACGAAGAACUCCGAUUGCGAAGGCAGCCUGCUAAGCUGCAACUGACAUUGAGGCUCGAAAGCAUGGGUAGCAAACA
RNAcentral lists this ribosomal RNA (207 nucleotides) under uncultured bacterium. Its description in RNAcentral is "partial 16S ribosomal RNA". It matches the Rfam family "Bacterial small subunit ribosomal RNA", at positions 568 to 774 of the family's 1533-position model. The record is from RNAcentral.